This 125-nucleotide small RNA is filed under the name Marmota monax (woodchuck). Lineage: Eukaryota; Metazoa; Chordata; Mammalia; Rodentia; Sciuridae. The record is from RNAcentral.
ACUGGGUGCUGUGGCACACACCUGUAAUCCCAGCAGCUCAGGAGGUUGAGGCAGGAGGAUCGUGAGUUCAAAGCCAGCCUCAGAAAUGGUGAGGCACUAAGCAACUCAGUGAGACCCUGUCUCUA